AUUGUUCCGUGCUGGCGGCCGAGCGCCAACCGCAGGACCGCGCCGCCGCCUCCGACGCAGUGAGCACUUCAUUAGUAACCCGAGCUUUCCGAGCUCAUCGAAGUCUCGGUCCCUCUGGGAAGGCUCCGGGCUCCCGCCACUCGCCGGCGGGCUGGCGGAGACGGUAGGGGCUGCAUUUCCCAGUCUCCAACCCAACUCUGGCCGCAGCUCCCACAGAAGGCGAAUAAGGAGACAAGGAAGACCGAGCUAGAGAGAGAUGUGACCCGCCUGAGAUCCUCUGCUCUUCCUUCUCUACCCUGCUGUUUGAGGAAAUGUAACAACUUAAACUGCCGCAAUAGGGCUUUUGUUUCUGGCCAGUGGGGAGCGCCGUGGACGAGCAGUGGGCAGAAAGAGAAUGAACUUGGUAUUUAUUCUAUUGGCCCUCUCCCGGUAAUGGUCCAAGUUAUGAGCAUCUACUGUCCUACAACUCUUAAAACAGGUGCUUGGAAAUGAUAAGAAUCGUGGUCUUUACCUUUAAGAAUGUCACUUUGGCAAGUCACUUCACCUCUCUGCAUAACUAAGUCAUUGAAUACUACAUAUGUCUUUAAUUAAAGUGUAUGUAGGAUGCUAAGGUGGCAGUCAACAUCUUUGUGAAUUUGAGCAAGGGGCCUCCACUUAGAACCCUCUUCUUCGCUCAAGUUCUGAACCAGCAAAAGAAACAAACAAACAAACAAGAACAUAAAUAAGCAAACGAGAGCCCAAAUAUCACCUUUAUCACUGAUAAAUGAUACAGUGUGUUGCUAUGUUUCCUAUUCUGGUCUGGAACUCCUGGUC
RNAcentral lists this long non-coding RNA (813 nucleotides) under Homo sapiens (human). RNAcentral describes it as "HSALNT0335671". The record is from RNAcentral. Lineage: Eukaryota; Metazoa; Chordata; Mammalia; Primates; Hominidae.